RNAcentral lists this ribosomal RNA (423 nucleotides) under Boana cinerascens group sp. ABGD cluster 20. Its description in RNAcentral is "partial large subunit ribosomal RNA". It matches the Rfam family "Bacterial large subunit ribosomal RNA", at positions 1834 to 2457 of the family's 2925-position model. The record is from RNAcentral. Lineage: Eukaryota; Metazoa; Chordata; Amphibia; Anura; Hylidae.
CUCGAACUAUCAUGAGAGGUACAGCCUGCCCAGUGACCCAAUGUUCAACGGCCGCGGUAUCCUAACCGUGCGAAGGUAGCGUAAUCACUUGUUCUUUAAAUGAGGACUAGUAUGAAUGGCAUCACGAGGGUUAUACUGUCUCCUUUUUCCAAUCAGUGAAACUAAUCUCCUCGUGAAGAAGCGAGGAUUAUUUUAUAAGACGAGAAGACCCUAUGGAGCUUUAAACUAACCAGCAUUUGCUAUAUUGUAAAAUUUUUCAGAAAUAUAAAAAACAGCUUAGCUCUUUGACUAUAAGUUUUCGAUUGGGGUGAUCACGGAACAAAAAAUAACUUCCGUGCCGAAAGGACUAUUCCUGAGCCAAAAGUGACAACCUUAAGCACUAAAAAAUUAACGCUUAUUGACCCAAUAAUUUGAUCAACGAAC